RNAcentral lists this ribosomal RNA (510 nucleotides) under uncultured bacterium. RNAcentral's name for it is "bacterial SSU rRNA". It matches the Rfam family "Bacterial small subunit ribosomal RNA", at positions 65 to 554 of the family's 1533-position model. The record is from RNAcentral.
CACGAGAAAGGGCUUCGGCCCCGGUACAGUGGCGCACGGGUGAGUAACACGUGGGUAACCUGCCCUUGAGCGGGGGAUAACAUUCCGAAAGGAGUGCUAAUACCGCAUAAGACCACGACCUCGAAAGAGGAUGUGGGAAAAGCCGGCCUCUAUAUAUAAGCUGGCACUCGAGGAUGGGCCCGCGGCGCAUCAUGGUAGUUGGUGAGGUAAUGGCUCACCAAGCCUAAGACGCGUAGCUGGUCUGAGAGGAUGAUCAGCCACACUGGAACUGAGACACGGUCCAGACUCCUACGGGAGGCAGCAGUGGGGAAUCUUGCGCAAUGGACGAAAGUCUGACGCAGCGACGCCGCGUGGGUGAUGAAGGCCUUCGGGUUGUAAAGCCCUGUGGGGAGAGACGAAUAAGUCGUGGCUAAUAUCCACGAUGAUGACGGUAUCUCCUUAGCAAGCACCGGCUAACUCUGUGCCAGCAGCCGCGGUAAGACAGAGGGUGCAAACGUUGUUCGGAAUUAC